RNAcentral lists this ribosomal RNA (253 nucleotides) under uncultured bacterium. Its description in RNAcentral is "partial 16S ribosomal RNA". It matches the Rfam family "Bacterial small subunit ribosomal RNA", at positions 524 to 776 of the family's 1533-position model. The record is from RNAcentral.
UACGUAGGGGGCAAGCGUUAUCCGGAUUUACUGGGUGUAAAGGGAGCGCAGGCGGCAGGGCAAGUCUGAUGUGAAAACCCGGGGCUCAACCCCGGGACUGCAUUGGAAACUGUUCCGCUGGAGUGUCGGAGAGGUAAGUGGAAUUCCUAGUGUAGCGGUGAAAUGCGUAGAUAUUAGGAGGAACACCAGUGGCGAAGGCGGCUUACUGGACGACAACUGACGCUGAGGCUCGAAAGCGUGGGGAGCAAACAGG